CCUACGGGUGGCAGCAGUGGGGCAUAUUGGGCAAUGGGCGAAAGCCUGACCCAGCAACGCCGCGUGAAGGAAGAAGGCUUUCGGGUUGUAAACUUCUUUUGACAGGGAAGAGCAGAAGACGGUACCUGUCGAAUAAGCCACGGCUACCUACGUGCCAGCAGCCGCGGUAAUACGUAGGUGGCCAGCGUUGUCCGGAUUUACUGGGUGUAAAGGGCGUGUAGCCGGGCUGACAAGUCAGAUGGGAAAUCCGGGGGCUCAACCCCCGAACUGCAGUUGAAACUGUUGGUCUGGAGUAUCGGAGAGGCAGGCGGAAUUCGGGGUGUAGCGGUGAAAUGCGUAGAUAUUAGGAAGAACGCCAGUGGCGAAGGCAGCCUGCUGGACGACAACUGACGGUGAGGCGCGAAAGCGUGGGGAGCAAACAGGAGUAGAUACCCGAGUAGUC
Molecule: ribosomal RNA, 442 nt
Filed under: uncultured bacterium
Lineage: Bacteria
Description: partial 16S ribosomal RNA
Rfam family: Bacterial small subunit ribosomal RNA
Source: RNAcentral